Molecule: ribosomal RNA, 115 nt
Filed under: Pseudomonadota bacterium
Lineage: Bacteria; Pseudomonadati; Pseudomonadota
Source: RNAcentral
CCUGGCGGCAAUAGCGAGCGUGAACCACCCGAUCCCAUUUCGAACUCGGAAGUGAAACCGUUUAGCGCCGAUGAUAGUGUGGGAGUUCCCAUGUGAAAGUAGGUCACUGCCAGGC